RNAcentral lists this long non-coding RNA (269 nucleotides) under Vitis vinifera (wine grape). RNAcentral describes it as "long non-coding RNA (VVIN_LNC002928)". Lineage: Eukaryota; Viridiplantae; Streptophyta; Magnoliopsida; Vitales; Vitaceae. The record is from RNAcentral.
GGAUUAUCGACUGUACCCAUUUCUUCCCAUUGCAAGAGCAUAGUACAAAUGUUUGUCGUUCGUAAGAGAUUGCAUGGCGAAUGCCUUUCCUUGCUUAAGUAUUUUCAGCAAGCACCAAGGAGGAAGGCGUGAGUUCAGAAACACCUUGAGCUAUACCAGUUGUCCAAGGCGAUCAAGCCUAUCUGUGACUGUUAUUACAUCAACAAGCAUUAUUCGGCUGGCCAAAUCUAUUUCAUCUUCAACACUGUCAGGUUGGAGUUGCAGUUACC